This 282-nucleotide unclassified non-coding RNA is filed under the name Zea mays. RNAcentral describes it as "misc RNA Zm00001eb296570". The record is from RNAcentral. Lineage: Eukaryota; Viridiplantae; Streptophyta; Magnoliopsida; Poales; Poaceae.
UUGGUCGUAUCCCUCUGCCCUGCCUCUCCGCCAGGCCUCUAUUGCCCCCUCCUCCGACGCCUGCAGUGGAAGGUAAGGAGAAGGACGGCGGUAGCCGGAUCUGGUGAGCACGCGACUGCACCCCGCCUGUGGCCAGGCGGCGCCCGGAUUCGCGUCGCUUUGCAACCCCCCGCGAGUAGGUCUAUUCCAGGGACAAUCGGAUGGCUGCGCAUCGCCUGGAGGCUGGUUGUUGGUCAGGAGCUUGAAGUUUUAACUGGAAUGGAGUCAAUCUGUUUAGCUUAG